UACGGAGGGGGCUAGCGUUGUUCGGAAUUACUGGGCGUAAAGCGCACGUAGGCGGCUUUGCAAGUUAGAGGUGAAAGCCCGGGGCUCAACUCCGGAAUUGCCUUUAAAACUGCAUCGCUAGAAUUGUGGAGAGGUAAGUGGAAUUCCGAGUGUAGGGGUGAAAUUCGUAGAUAUUCGGAAGAACACCAGUGGCGAAGGCGACUUACUGGACACAUAUUGACGCUGAGGUGCGAAAGCGUGGGGAGCAAACAGG
RNAcentral lists this ribosomal RNA (253 nucleotides) under uncultured bacterium. RNAcentral's name for it is "partial 16S ribosomal RNA". It matches the Rfam family "Bacterial small subunit ribosomal RNA", at positions 524 to 776 of the family's 1533-position model. The record is from RNAcentral.